RNAcentral lists this transfer RNA (74 nucleotides) under Actinomycetota bacterium. RNAcentral's name for it is "tRNA-Glu". It matches the Rfam family "tRNA". From Rfam's summary of the family: Transfer RNA (tRNA) molecules are approximately 80 nucleotides in length. Their secondary structure includes four short double-helical elements and three loops (D, anti-codon, and T loops). The record is from RNAcentral. RNAcentral also lists the same sequence under 1 other name. Lineage: Bacteria; Bacillati; Actinomycetota.
GGCCCCAUCGUCUAGCCAGGUCAGGACACCGCCCUUUCAAGGCGGCAGCACGGGUUCGAAUCCCGUUGGGGCCA